This 503-nucleotide ribosomal RNA is filed under the name uncultured bacterium. RNAcentral's name for it is "partial 16S ribosomal RNA". It matches the Rfam family "Bacterial small subunit ribosomal RNA", at positions 29 to 523 of the family's 1533-position model. The record is from RNAcentral.
AACGAACGCUGGCGGCACGUUUUAAGCAUGCAAGUCGAAUGGCAGCAGGGGCAACUCUGUGAGAAUGGCGAACGGGUGAGUAGCACGUAGGUGAUCUGCCUUGAGGAUGGGGAUAGCCUGUGGAAACACAGGGUAAUACCGAAUGAGCUGACGAGACUUUGGUUUUGUUAGUAAAGGUGCUACGGCACCGCCUUGAGAGGAGCCUGCGGCUGAUUAGCUAGUUGGUGGGGUAAGAGCUUACCAAGGCGACGAUCAGUAGCCGGCCUGAGAGGGGGUACGGCCACACUGGAACUGAGACACGGGCCAGACUCCUACGGGAGGCAGCAGCUAAGAAUCUUCCGCAAUGGGCGAAAGCCUGACGGAGCGAUGCCGCGUGAUCGAUGAAGGUCGAGAGAUUGUAAAGAUCUUUUCUACAUGAGGAAUAAGUCUGGGAGGGAAUGCCCGGAUGAUGACGUUAGUGUAGGAAUAAGCCCCGGCUAAUUACGUGCCAGCCGCCGCCGUAA